UAUGGUGGCUCAUGCCUGUCAUUCCAGCACAUUGAAAGGCCAAGGCGGGUGGGUCACCUGAGUUCAGGAGUUCAAGACCAGCCUGACCAACUUGGUGAAACCCCAUCUCUGCUAAAAACACAAAAAUUAGCCAGGUAUGGUGGCGCAUUUCUGUAAUCCCAGCUACUCAGGAGGCUGAGGCAGGAGACUCACCUGAACCCAGGAGGUGGAGGUUGCAGUGAGUGGAGAUCACACCACUGGACUCUAGCCUGGGCAACGAGAGUAAAACUCUGCCUCAAAAAAAAAAGAAAAGAAAAGAAAAGAAAAGAAACUCAAUCAUCAAUAUUUAGUCACUCUUAAGACUGACCCAGGAAUAACAGAGCAGAUAAAAUCCAGCAAAUUAGACUUCAUUCAAGUACUUAGGUGUACUGUGAGCCACCAUGGUGCCUCUAAACACCAUGGAGGCAGUGGUCACUAUUCUUGCACUGAUGAAGAUGGCUGUGUACAGGAUUGGGGGCUUCAGGGGCAAUGGAAAGUGCCAGGACUGCAGCUCAGAGCCAGGCUUUUCCAUGAAGGACUUAUGGCCACACUUGUCACCUCUAGCUAGAAAAACAUUUUAGUAGAAAUGUCAUUUUAUUGUUUUAAUUCCAGAAAUGACUUCAGUGGCAAAUAGAACUUACUUUUUUACUGUUGUUGUUGUUGUUGUUGCAGAGUUUCACUCUGUUGCCCAGGCUGGAGUGCAGUGCUGUGAUCUCAGUUCAUAGCAGCCUCUGCCUCCCAGCUUCAAGUGAUUCUCCUGCUUCAGCCUCCCGAGUAGCUGGGAUUACAGGUGCCAGCCACCAUGCCUGGCUAAUUUUUUGUAUUUUUAGUAGAGAUGGGGUUUCACCAUGUUGGCCAGGCUGGUCUCGAACUCCUUACCUCAGGUGAUCCACCCACCUCAGCCUCCCAAAGUGCUGAGGUGGGAGGAUCACCUGAGGUCAGGAGUUCAAGACCAGCCUGGCCAAUAUGGCGAAACCCCGUCUCUACUAAAAAUACAAAAAUUAGCCGGGUGUGGUGGCAUGCGCCUGUAAUCCCAGCUCCUCAGGAGGCUGAGGCAGGAGAAUUGUUGGAGCACAGGGGGCAGAGGCUGCAGUGAGCCGAGAUUAGACCAUUGCACUGCAGCCUGGGCGACAGUGCAAGACUCUGUCUC
RNAcentral lists this long non-coding RNA (1168 nucleotides) under Homo sapiens (human). RNAcentral's name for it is "non-protein coding lnc-ZNF680-5:1". The record is from RNAcentral. Lineage: Eukaryota; Metazoa; Chordata; Mammalia; Primates; Hominidae.